UGCCCUUUUCCUCUCUCUCGUCGGUUGGUGCAAGGAAAUGAAGACUGGUGGUAAAGCAAAGAAAGGAGCUGUCUCUGUUUCUUCUCCACAGAUUUGAGCAAAGACCACAACUUUCUACCUGCCUCGCCGAUGCCCUUGUGUUCUGAACAGAUCUCUCGGUGCCGGUUUGUAUUCUCUCCGAUUGUCUAUUCCGAUCAGCUUCGCCGGCGGUGUAUUUCCACCUGUCUCUCCGUUUCCUCUCACACAUUAUCUUUCUCUCUCUAAAAUUUGGAGGUAAGGCCCAUUAACAAAACCCACCCACCACUACCACAUUUUCUCUCUCUAAAAUUCUCAAUCUCUCUCCAUGCCCUCAUGGUUCACUUGUUCAAGCAUUCAUUUGCUCUCUCUGCUUUUCAUCUGGUAGACCCGAUUAGAUUUAUAUCUUGUGAGAGGAAAAUAAUUGGAAUGAGCAGUAUCGGUAAAGUCAUUAGGACGUCCCCGCCGCCCUCGCUGUCGCCGCAGCCGCAGACGCACCUGUUCGGUUCAUUCUGAACCGCUGGAUGAAAUUGUUGAAUUUGGAUUUAGAUUUAUGGAUUUUACCGUUGACUGAAUUAGCGAACCAUGUGUUGUUUCUCACCGGAGUUGGAUGAGGAAGAUCCUCCUCCCACCCCACCCCACCCCACCCCACAACAACGCCGACGAGGCGUGGGGAGUAGUGCAGGGUGGCACAGUAAGGAGGAACGCACGUUUCGUGGACACCUUCUGUAUGAACAAUAAUGCAUUAACCGUUAAAUUUUGUGUGAUUAAAUUUUAAUUUGUGUUUGGUUUUAAUUUUCUUUGGUUGGACUUCAGGAGGCAGACGGGGCGUAUGGAAGACGAGAAAAAUGGAUGGUAGUGACCAGAAGGGAGGACUGAGAAGAGAUUUGGGGUAUGGGGAAGUGUGGGAAUAUGCUUUAGUUAUAUUACUUAUUUAUUGCUGUGUGGGGGUGUGUUACUUAUAUAACUUUUUAAUUUCUUCUGAUCUAUCAAUGGCAAAAAGGUUCAGUUCUUGCUUGAUACACUAAAAUCACUAAUAAACAUUAGAACACUGAAGGCAUGAAUCUAUCAUUUUUCUCUUUGUUUUUUUAUUUUAUUUUUCUUCUUUUUAAUCAGUUAUAAUUAAAUUUUUAUGUCUUCAAUUGUUUGAGUUAAAAAAAUAUAUAUAUAAAUUUGUUUGAAUAAUAAAGUCGCGCGUGCCACGGUGCCAUUGCGUGGGGGAGAAUAUGCAGCUAAUACAUAACGUGAUAAUGGUACUGUGCGGCAGA
RNA transcript from Cornus florida, 1283 nucleotides. RefSeq lists it as uncharacterized. The transcript is spliced from 3 exons. The record is from RefSeq and is a predicted model, not a curated record. NCBI's taxonomy places the organism in Eukaryota, Viridiplantae, Streptophyta, Magnoliopsida, Cornales, Cornaceae.